UCUCCACUGUCCAUGUCUCCACUGUCCAUGUCUCCAUUGUCCAUGUCUCCACUGUCCAUGUCUCCACUGUCCAUGUCUCCAAUGUCCAUGUCUCCAAUGUCCAUGUCUCCAAUGUCCAUGUCUCCAAUGUCCAUGUCCAGAGUCUCAUAUGAUCUGAACAAGUGUGUGAGACAGAAAUGAAAACAUCUGCUCAUAAGUUUUUCUGAAUGUUUUUCAGUCUGUACUGACAUUUGAUUUAUGGUGAAAUGUGCCAUUUAUUUGAUGUCUCUUUUGAUAGUAACUAAUUACAUGUACUAUAAGAAUGUACUAUUGUACUGCAGAUAAGCUGUGGUAUUCCACAUGAUCAUAUUUGGCAAAGAUAUUUUGUUCAUUUUUGAUUGUCACUUGCUUCAGCAAAAAGGGAACACAAUGAGAUUUACUGACAUACAGCUGUUUGUACUAACCUGUUAAUGCAGAGUGUGUGUAAUGGGUUUAAUAUUUGACUUCAUAUUAUGAUAAAGUAUUUCCAGAAGUUCCUUGGAUUGUUUAAUAAACCAGCUUUUCUCAGGA
Molecule: long non-coding RNA, 549 nt
Organism: Boleophthalmus pectinirostris (great blue-spotted mudskipper)
Lineage: Eukaryota; Metazoa; Chordata; Actinopteri; Gobiiformes; Gobiidae
Exons: 2
Source: RefSeq, a predicted model, not a curated record